Pollicipes pollicipes is the source of this 224-nucleotide long non-coding RNA. RefSeq lists it as uncharacterized. The transcript is spliced from 3 exons. The record is from RefSeq and is a predicted model, not a curated record. Lineage: Eukaryota; Metazoa; Arthropoda; Thecostraca; Pollicipedomorpha; Pollicipedidae.
GCAGCUGCGCAGCCGGCAGGCGCAGCUGGAAGAUGCACAGCUUGAGCUGAACCAGAAGAACUCGGAGCUGGUGCGGACGGCUGAGCGUCUGCGGAAGCUGGAGACGAGCGAGACCAGCGCCCGGACAGAGGCCGACCGGCUGGCGCAGCAGCUGACCGCACAAAACAAGCAGCUGACGCAGCUGGAGACCCAGCUGGCCACGGCCAAGCUGGCGGUGGCGGCGG